AACCCUGAUCCAGCCAUGCCGCGUGUGUGAAGAAGGCCUUUUGGUUGUAAAGCACUUUAAGCAGGGAGGAGAGGCUAAUGGUUAAUACCCAUUAGAUUAGACGUUACCUGCAGAAUAAGCACCGGCUAACUCUGUGCCAGCAGCCGCGGUAAUACAGAGGGUGCGAGCGUUAAUCGGAAUUACUGGGCGUAAAGCGAGUGUAGGUGGCUCAUUAAGUCACAUGUGAAAUCCCCGGGCUUAACCUGGGAACUGCAUGUGAUACUGGUGGUGCUAGAAUAUGUGAGAGGGAAGUAGAAUUCCAGGUGUAGCGGUGAAAUGCGUAGAGAUCUGGAGGAAUACCGAUGGCGAAGGCAGCUUCCUGGCAUAAUAUUGACACUGAGAUUCGAAAGCGUGGGUAGCAAACAGGAUUAGAUACCCUGGUAGUCCACGCCGUAAACGAUGUCUACUAGCCGUUGGGGUCCUUGAGACUUUAGUGGCGCAGUUAACGCGAUAAGUAGACCGCCUGGGGAGUACGGCCGCAAGGUUAAAACUCAAAUGAAUUGACGGGGGCCCGCACAAGCGGUGGAGCAUGUGGUUUAAUUCGAUGCAACGCGAAGAACCUUACCUGGUCUUGACAUAGUGAGAAUCCUGCAGAGAUGCGGGAGUGCCUUCGGGAAUUCACAUACAGGUGCUGCAUGGCUGUCGUCAGCUCGUGUCGUGAGAUGUUGGGUU
Molecule: ribosomal RNA, 711 nt
Filed under: Faucicola osloensis
Lineage: Bacteria; Pseudomonadati; Pseudomonadota; Gammaproteobacteria; Moraxellales; Moraxellaceae
Description: bacterial SSU rRNA
Rfam family: Bacterial small subunit ribosomal RNA
Source: RNAcentral